This 495-nucleotide ribosomal RNA is filed under the name uncultured bacterium. RNAcentral describes it as "partial 16S ribosomal RNA". It matches the Rfam family "Bacterial small subunit ribosomal RNA", at positions 28 to 507 of the family's 1533-position model. The record is from RNAcentral.
GACGAACGCUGGCGGCGUGCCUAAUACAUGCGAGUAGAACGCUGAAGGAGGAGCUUGCUUCUCUGGAUGAGUUGCGAACGGGUGAGUAACGCGUAGGUAACCUGCCUGGUAGCGGGGGAUAACUAUUGGAAACGAUAGCUAAUACCGCAUAAGAGUAGAUGUUGCAUGACAUUUGCUUAAAAGGUGCAAUUGCAUCACUACCAGAUGGACCUGCGUUGUAUUAGCUAGUUGGUGGGGUAACGGCUCACCAAGGCGACGAUACAUAGCCGACCUGAGAGGGUGAUCGGCCACACUGGGACUGAGACACGGCCCAGACUCCUACGGGAGGCAGCAGUAGGGAAUCUUCGGCAAUGGACGAAAGUCUGACCGAGCAACGCCGCGUGAGUGAAGAAGGUUUUCGGAUCGUAAAGCUCUGUUGUAAGAGAAGAACGAGUGUGAGAGUGGAAAGUUCACACUGUGACGGUAUCUUACCAGAAAGGGACGGCUAACUACGUG